Peromyscus leucopus (white-footed mouse) is the source of this 1768-nucleotide long non-coding RNA. RefSeq lists it as uncharacterized. The transcript has 3 exons. Lineage: Eukaryota; Metazoa; Chordata; Mammalia; Rodentia; Cricetidae. The record is from RefSeq and is a predicted model, not a curated record.
GUGAAGUAUUGCAGGGAGAGAGGAUCCAGCGGGUGGCGAAACCUGGGGACUGAGACAAUAUUCGGCCUGAAAUAUACUCACACAUGGCUGAAGCCAUGCACGGAAAAGCUAAGCCCAAGCCACCUCUUGCCCUCAGGACCUCUGCAACCAAGAACCACUCUCCAGUUGCAUCAGAACAAAUCAGGCACAGCUCCCCGCCUUCCCUGCAACCCAGGAACAUGUGGAAAGUCGGGAUCAGAGAAGGCUUGGCCUGCCUCUCCUGAGAAGACUGGGGACCAGCUCACCUGUGUCUCCAGCCAUGCUACUGGUACAUGCACCCCAGCAAGUGCCUCUUCUCCCACUGUGGGGGCCCUCUUUCUUCCACAGAGUCUGCUCUUUUGAACUUUGAACAACAGCCACUUCUGCAAGCGUUGGAGCCUGCAAGCUGAGGACAUGAAUGAACUGAGUCAUCCCCACAGAGCUUCAUUAAUUUUAAGGCAAUUUAAGAUUUCUGAGUCACAGGCUUCAGUCAUUUAGACUUUCCCAGCUGGCAGUGUGCUUGCCCACACACAUUUUUCUUCAAAGAUUGCAUCUGUGUCUAGAUGUGUGGUUCUGCCCACUCUCCAUCAGUUUCUGAGAGAAAUCAACUUCAGAGAUGCAUGCAGGGUGACACGCAAUCCAUUUGCCAUGUGCCGCGCGCAUCUUUGUCAGGAUGAGGGUUUCAUGAAAUUAGCAGUCGGCUGUUUCAUCCACACCCGCCGCACCACAGACAUGCAGUUCUAAAUUCUAUAUCCAACACAAUAUUGUACCCAGCCUCCCAAGGAAACUCAGUUACACCAUAUGGUGACUCCACUCACUAUACAAUAUUUAGCAACUUGAUGAACAAGGAAUGAAUCAUAUCUUAACCAUCUUGGCCAAAUAUUGUUUUAUAUAGCAACAGUAUUAGUAAUAUAUAUGUUUUACUUUUUUUUUUUUAACAGUAGUACUUCCUGCUACGCCCACUGAAAAUUAAGAGCUAGACCUCACUGGAAGCAGGCUGCACAACAAAAGAGUUCUUACUCAUUAGCAAUCUUCCGUUCAACAUUGCACUGUACAUAUGAUACUCAUUAGCAAUCUCCAGUUCAACAUUGCACUGUCCAUACGAUACAUUCACAAUGUCUGCUUUUUUCUUUUCCUCCAGAGCAGCUGCUGGGAUUAAGCAAUAGUCUCCCAGGGUAACAAAGCAAGGAAUCCUGGGGCAUUUCCCAGAUACUGAAAACAAAGGACAUGUAUAGAGGGUAGUGCUGAAGCUCUCUCCUUUCCACCAGAGAGAAGCCCCUAUGGUCUCAGGGUGUAGAGAGGAACCUUCGCAAGGUCCUGGAAGGGAAAGGGUGUUCUGUGAGGGGCUGGGUGAUCCCCACAGAUCCCCUCUUGGAACCUCAGUUCUGUCAUUCAGCAAGGGUAAUAAUGAAACCUUUUCUAAAUCAUCAUGUUUCAGGCGAGUGCUAAGUCCUUUGUGCAAAAGAUGUAGGCAUUGUCUGGGACACACAUACACACACAAACACUCUCUCUCUCUCUCUCUCUCUCUCUCUCUCUCUCUCUCUCUCUCUCACACACACACACACACACACACACACACACACACACACACAAAUAAAAUGCAAUCUUCCCCUUCAGUAAGCUUACAAGGUGAUAACUGGAAGAUGCAGAGUGUAGCGUGAAUUCUAAUUGAUCUUGAUAAUAAAAACCCAGAGUCAGAUAUCGGGGUAAAUGCUGAAAGACCAGAGAAGCAGAGCAGCCAACCACUAGA